UAUGGCCACAUCACGUUGAAAUACCGAUUCCCGUUCAGUCACCGAAGUUAAGCAACUUCGAUCCUGGUCAGUACCUAGAUGGGUGACUGCUUGGGAAUGCCAAGUGCUGUAA
Acanthosepion pharaonis is the source of this 112-nucleotide non-coding RNA. The record is from the annotation of a GenBank genome assembly. Lineage: Eukaryota; Metazoa; Mollusca; Cephalopoda; Sepiida; Sepiidae.